This 2192-nucleotide unclassified non-coding RNA is filed under the name Hevea brasiliensis (rubber tree). Lineage: Eukaryota; Viridiplantae; Streptophyta; Magnoliopsida; Malpighiales; Euphorbiaceae. The record is from RNAcentral.
AUAUGCUUAGUUCUUCCAUGAAAAAUGUGAUUUUUAGCCAUAGCCACAGCAGAUUGAUUGUCACAAUAAAUGGUUAUAGCUUCUUCUUGCAUCUGGUGUAAAUCAUUGAGAAUUUUUCUCAACCAUAUAGCUUGAUUAACAGCAGUUGCAGCUGAAAUAUACUCUGCUUCAGCUGAUGAUUGAGCCACAACAUCUUGCUUUUUGGAACUCCAACUUAUAACACCUGAACCAAUGGUGAAUGCAUACCUAGACGUGUUCUUCAGGUCAUCAACUGAACCACCCCAAUCGCUAUCUGCAUAUCCCAUUAACUUCACUUCAAAUUUUCUUUUAAACUAAACUCCAAGAUCAGUUGUUCCUCUCACAUAUUUUAACACCUUUUUUGCUGCUUUAAAAUGAAUUUCACUUGGAGCUUGUAUGAACCUGGACAAUAGACUUGUAGCAAACAUAACGCCAGGUCUUGUAGUAGAUAAAUAUAACAAACACCCAAUUAAACUUCUAUAAAUUCCAGCAUCCACCUUAUCAGAUCCAUCUUCUUUGCUCAGUUUUUCAUUCUGAGCUAAAGGGGUAUCAGCUGCUUAACAAUUCUCCCUGCCAAAUUUCCUUAAAAUCUCCUUAGCAUACUUCUCUUGAUUUAUUAAAGUUCCCUCCUCAAAUUGAUGAACUUCCACUCCAAGGAAAUAAGACAUCUUUCCAAGAUCAGUCAUCUCAAACACAUUCCACAUUUCCUUCUUAAAUUCUUUGACAAAUGAGAUAUUGCUACCAGUAAUGAGAAGAUCAUCUACAUACAAUGACACUGUCAGUAAAUCACCAUUAACACUUCUCACAUACAAGGUAGCCUCACUAAUGCUUCUUUUGAACCCCAUCAUCAACAAAUGCUCAUCUAUUCUGGUGUACCAAGCUCUGGGAGCCUGUUUUAAACCAUAUAGAGCCUUCUUGAGCACAAAAACCUUAUCUUCUUUUCCUUUCAUAAUAAAACCAGGUGGUUGUUCUACAAAUAUUUCCUCCUGCAGAUAACCAUUCAAGAAAGCUGAUUUGACAUUAAGCUGAAAAAUUUCCCAAUAUUUCUGAGCUGCAAAGGCAAUGAGAAGCCUUAUAGUGUCAUACCUUGCUACUGGUGCAAAGGUAUCUGUGAAAUCCACCCCAUACUGUUGUAAGUAGCCCUUGACAACUACUCUUGCUUUGAAUUUAUUGACUGAACCAUCUGAAUUCAACUUGGUUCUAUAAACCCAUCUCACUCCAAUUACUUUCUUAUUGGUAGGCUUGUCAACUAGCGGCCAAGUUUCAUUUUUAUGAAUCAUUUUCAGCUCCUCCUCCAUUGUAGCCCUCCAAUUUGAAGACUUUACAGCUUCUUCAUAACUCACAGGUUCUACCAAAGCUAUAUUGCAUCGUUCAUAAAUAUCAGCUAAAGAUUGGGUUCCUCUCACUACAUUUUUAGUAUCUGAAUCACUUCCAGUGUCAGCUUCAUCUUCUAAAAAAAUAUUUUUGCUGAUAAUCACCUUCUCAGUUUGCACUUUGAAUACUCUAUAACCCUUCACAUUGCUAACAUAUCCAAGAAACACUCCAAUCUCAGCCUUGUGAUCCAACUUACUCCUCUUAACAUAACAAAUGCAUCCAAACACUCUUAGAUGACUGACUGAAGGUUUAUUCGCAAACCAUGCUUCGAAUGGAAUUUUAUCUUUUAAGGCUCUUGUAGGUAACAAAUUCAGCAAAUAUACAGCAGUGUUAACUGCUUUAGCCCAAAACUUUUUAGGCAUAUCUUUCUCAAAUAAAAGACACCUUGCAAUUUCCAUCACUGUUCUAUUCUUUCUCUCGCUCACCCCAUUCUGUUGAGGAGUAUAACUGACAGUGAGCUGAUGAUGAAUCCCAACUUCUUCAUAAAACUUAUCAAACCUCUCAGAAGUAUAUUCAGUUCCAUUAUCAAACCUUAAAGUCUUUAUUUUACAAUCAGAUUGAGUCUCCACCAUAGCUUUGAAUUUCUGAAAUACACCAAAAACUUCUAACUUCUGUUUCAGAAAGUAAACCCGGCACAUUUUAGAAAAAUCAUCAAUGAAGAGAAUGAAAUAUCUGCUUCCACUUAAGGAUGGAGUAUUCAUGGGUCCACACACAUCAGUGUGAAUGAGUUGCAGCUUCUGAGAUGCUCUCCAAGCCAUAUUCGUUGGAAAUGGCAGUUUUUUUUGCUUCCUCAAUUGACA